Molecule: ribosomal RNA, 816 nt
Filed under: Triticum aestivum (bread wheat)
Lineage: Eukaryota; Viridiplantae; Streptophyta; Magnoliopsida; Poales; Poaceae
Description: partial small subunit ribosomal RNA
Source: RNAcentral
AUGCAGCCGGAGGAUGCGAGGAAGGAGAUCAACAGGUGGGUCGCCAAGGCCACGAAGAAGCUCAUUAUAAUUACCUCCGUCCUACCACGGGGCUCAGUGCACCGCGACACCAGGCUCGUGCUCACCAAUGCCAUCUACUUCAAGGGCAAGUGGGACAACGCCUUCAGCAAGAGCCGCACCAGAGACCACACGUUCCACCGCCUCGACGGCAGCACCGUCCAGGUGCCAUUCAUGGAGGGAAGCAGCCGCGACAAGUACUUCGUGGCCGACCGUGACGGGUUCAAGGUGCUCAAGCUCCCGUACAAGAAGGCGGCCAAGAGCGGCGGCGGUGCGCGGUACUCGAUGUGCAUCUUCCUCCCGACGGCACGAGACGGGCUGCGUAGCCUUGCAGACAAGAUGGCGUCUGGCACGCCAGGGUUCCUGUUCGACAACCUGCCCAAUUGGUCAAGUGAGGUGAAGCUCCGGCUACCCAAGUUCAAGCUGUCCUUCUUCUGCAGCAUGAAGAAAGUUCUCAAGGGCUUGGGGCUCCGGGCGGCGUUCAGCGAGGGGGCCGAUCUGUCUGACAUGGUGGAGGAGGACUCAAGUGGAAACACUGUGCGGCUGCGGGUAGACGAUGUGUUCCACAGGGCGGUUGUGGAAGUGAACGAGGAAGGCACCGAGGCGGCUGCAUCCACCGCCAUGACCUUGGUAUUUUUAUGCGCCUCCGAGCCCGUUGAUUUCGUCGCCGACCAUCCAUUUGCCUUCUAUAUAGUGGAGGAGGUUUCCCGUUCGGUGGUCUUCGCCGGCCACGUCCUCGACCCUUCUGAAACCGAGUAA